AGUGCCUGACCCGGGUAGAGCAGGAUCUGGUUGGUGGCGCCUGCCUCCUGUCAGCCAGGGACAAAGCAGCCAGCUCCUUGUUUACCCCGGCUUGGCUUUCGGUCAGGGUCCAUGCCUGGUUUAUGCCCUGGACACAUGG
Small nucleolar RNA from Suricata suricatta (meerkat), 139 nucleotides. Lineage: Eukaryota; Metazoa; Chordata; Mammalia; Carnivora; Herpestidae. The record is from Ensembl.